GAGUUCGCGGGAGAGUAAGUUAUUGCCAGGGUUUUUAUUUUGUACUUUAAACCUUAAAUUUAUUUUUUAUAUUUUUUUAAUGUUUAUGUUUUUGAAUGUUUUAUUCAAAUAAUGUAAAAAAUAAAAUAGAUAUUGACAUGGAUUGAACAAAAGAUAUAUAUUAUUUUAUGUUGCAUAAACAAAUUGGCAAAAUAGAGAUGGAAGAUAAAAAUAUGGUCAAAGUAAUAAGAGUCUAUGGUGAAUGCC
This 246-nucleotide unclassified non-coding RNA is filed under the name Borreliella valaisiana. RNAcentral describes it as "partial 5S-23S ribosomal RNA intergenic spacer". The record is from RNAcentral. Lineage: Bacteria; Pseudomonadati; Spirochaetota; Spirochaetia; Spirochaetales; Borreliaceae.